This 69-nucleotide transfer RNA is filed under the name Lissemys punctata (Indian flap-shelled turtle). RNAcentral's name for it is "tRNA-Arg". Lineage: Eukaryota; Metazoa; Chordata; Testudines; Trionychidae. The record is from RNAcentral.
AGAUGGCUAAUUUAACCAAAAUAGUUAGUUUCGACCUAACCAAUCAUGAUUUAAACACAUGGCCACCUU